RNAcentral lists this ribosomal RNA (509 nucleotides) under uncultured bacterium. RNAcentral's name for it is "bacterial SSU rRNA". It matches the Rfam family "Bacterial small subunit ribosomal RNA", at positions 8 to 518 of the family's 1533-position model. The record is from RNAcentral.
AGAGUUUGAUUAUGGCUCAGGAUGAACGCUGGCGGCGUGCCUAACACAUGCAAGUCGAACGGAGUUAUUAUUAGGAAGUCUUCGGAUGGAAUAAUAAUAACUUAGUGGCGGACGGGUGAGUAACGCGUGGGUAACCUGCCUCAUACAGGGGGAUAACAGUUGGAAACGGCUGCUAAAACCGCAUAAUAAGGAGAGACCGCAUGGUUUUUCUUUCAAAUAUUUAUAGGUAUGAGAUGGGCCCGCGUCUGAUUAGCUAGUUGGUGAGGUAAUGGCUCACCAAGGCGACGAUCAGUAGCCGGCUUGAGAGAGUGACCGGCCACAUUGGGACUGAGACACGGCCCAAACUCCUACGGGAGGCAGCAGUGGGGAAUAUUGCACAAUGGGGGAAACCCUGAUGCAGCGACGCCGCGUGAGUGAAGAAGUAUUUCGGUAUGUAAAGCUCUAUCAGCAGGGAAGAAAAUGACGGUACCUGACUAAGAAGCCCCGGCUAACUACGUGCCAGCCGCAGC